Molecule: long non-coding RNA, 1374 nt
Filed under: Scleropages formosus (Asian bonytongue)
Lineage: Eukaryota; Metazoa; Chordata; Actinopteri; Osteoglossiformes; Osteoglossidae
Description: lncRNA (ENSSFOG00015031075.1)
Source: RNAcentral
GGGAGUGUCUGACAAGCCUUCCACAAGGCCUGCAAAAUGCACUAAUGGCAUCGGACAGCUGAAUGCGGCCGUUCGGCUUCGCCGUGUCCUGUUUGUGUCACUCAGGAUCCGCUCCUGCUAUGAGACACGACAGCCUUUGUGCGGGAACAAAGCAAGAGAGCCGAUCGUGAGUCUGAACCCGGAGCUGCCGGUGAGCUCGAACCCUGGUUCCUCCACACCUGAGGACUCUCGUGUUUCCCCAUCAAAGUCUCAGACACUAUGGGCUGUUCUUCAUCCAGCAGCCAGAACAUCUCCCAGGAGGGAAACAGACCCGGGACCAAACCGGGGGACGCCAAUGGGGAGACCACACUCGUGGCUUGCAAUCAGAAUGGCACCUUUUUUGAGGAGAGCAUGACCAUCGCAGAGCAGGUCCAGAGCAUCCUACCCCAUGAUCCGGUGAUCUGCCAGGAGUCUCCAGCACCGGCCACUGAAGCUUUAGAAUGUCUUACAGCUGCCGAGGAGGCUGUGGCGGAUGCUGAGUCGGAGCUCUUGGUCGUGAGCAGCUCUCCUGUGGCCCAGCAGGGUCCUGAACCUGAGUUGAGAGUGACCGCGCAGCCUGAGCCGAGCGUUGACCUUGAGCCGACAAGUGAAUCUGAACCGGAGCCGGCACCCGUGUGCGAGCCCGCACCCGCACCUGUACGGGCUGCAGCGUCUGAGCCGGAGCCAUCAUGUGACGUGAGCAUCGUUGUCGCACCUGGGCCAGCCUCUGCACCUGCUCCGUCACCUGCACCUGAACCAGCAGCUGCUGAAGCCGAGCCCAAAGCAUCCGUUGAGUCCGCAUUCACCCCUGAGGUCACCGCUGCUCCGGAGGAAGCCGCUGUCCAGGAGCUGAUCCUCAGCACGGAAGAAGAGGUGGUCUCUCAAGUAGAGGAAUCUGCAGAAACACCUGUUCUGGAACUGGUGACUUCCUCUGAUGAGGAAAAGGAUGCAGAAGAGACCUCCGACAGACCAGACCUGGCCCAGGCUGAAGAACCUGCUACAGAGGGAGUCAUAAAGGAAGUCAGACCACUGGCGGAGGAAGCAGCAGUUGUCUGCAGCGUAACAGCCGACGGCACAGAAGCUCCAUCCACUCAGGUCUCAGAGCCGGAACCGAAUGUGAGCGUGACCUCUGACCCCGCUGGCACUGAGAACGUGAAGGCACCUGCCAUCUCCCCCGAAUUGUUCCAGGACCCCCAGAGUCCUGCACCAGGGGCCAAAGUUGAAGGUGAUACGGGCGAGAAGCUGGAGGGGGAGGACCCCCAGGAUGAGGGAGGUGAGGAGGCCAAGACAGAAACCCAUGCUGAGCCCAGCAAGACUGAGGAGGCACUUGCCUUGUCAGCCCAAACCAGAGCUUGA